This 1525-nucleotide ribosomal RNA is filed under the name Streptococcus salivarius. RNAcentral's name for it is "bacterial SSU rRNA". It matches the Rfam family "Bacterial small subunit ribosomal RNA". Lineage: Bacteria; Bacillati; Bacillota; Bacilli; Lactobacillales; Streptococcaceae. The record is from RNAcentral.
UUAAUGAGAGUUUGAUCCUGGCUCAGGACGAACGCUGGCGGCGUGCCUAAUACAUGCAAGUAGAACGCUGAAGAGAGGAGCUUGCUCUUCUUGGAUGAGUUGCGAACGGGUGAGUAACGCGUAGGUAACCUGCCUUGUAGCGGGGGAUAACUAUUGGAAACGAUAGCUAAUACCGCAUAACAAUGGNNUGCUCCACUACAAGAUGGACCUGCGUUGUAUUAGCUAGUAGGUGAGGUAACGGCUCACCUAGGCGACGAUACAUAGCCGACCUGAGAGGGUGAUCGGCCACACUGGGACUGAGACACGGCCCAGACUCCUACGGGAGGCAGCAGUAGGGAAUCUUCGGCAAUGGGGGCAACCCUGACCGAGCAACGCCGCGUGAGUGAAGAAGGUUUUCGGAUCGUAAAGCUCUGUUGUAAGUCAAGAACGAGUGUGAGAGUGGAAAGUUCACACUGUGACGGUAGCUUACCAGAAAGGGACGGCUAACUACGUGCCAGCAGCCGCGGUAAUACGUAGGUCCCGAGCGUUGUCCGGAUUUAUUGGGCGUAAAGCGAGCGCAGGCGGUUUGAUAAGUCUGAAGUUAAAGGCUGUGGCUCAACCAUAGUUCGCUUUGGAAACUGUCAAACUUGAGUGCAGAAGGGGAGAGUGGAAUUCCAUGUGUAGCGGUGAAAUGCGUAGAUAUAUGGAGGAACACCGGUGGCGAAAGCGGCUCUCUGGUCUGUAACUGACGCUGAGGCUCGAAAGCGUGGGGAGCGAACAGGAUUAGAUACCCUGGUAGUCCACGCCGUAAACGAUGAGUGCUAGGUGUUGGAUCCUUUCCGGGAUUCAGUGCCGCAGCUAACGCAUUAAGCACUCCGCCUGGGGAGUACGACCGCAAGGUUGAAACUCAAAGGAAUUGACGGGGGCCCGCACAAGCGGUGGAGCAUGUGGUUUAAUUCGAAGCAACGCGAAGAACCUUACCAGGUCUUGACAUCCCGAUGCUAUUUCUAGAGAUAGAAAGUUACUUCGGUACAUCGGUGACAGGUGGUGCAUGGUUGUCGUCAGCUCGUGUCGUGAGAUGUUGGGUUAAGUCCCGCAACGAGCGCAACCCCUAUUGUUAGUUGCCAUCAUUCAGUUGGGCACUCUAGCGAGACUGCCGGUAAUAAACCGGAGGAAGGUGGGGAUGACGUCAAAUCAUCAUGCCCCUUAUGACCUGGGCUACACACGUGCUACAAUGGUUGGUACAACGAGUUGCGAGUCGGUGACGGCAAGCUAAUCUCUUAAAGCCAAUCUCAGUUCGGAUUGUAGGCUGCAACUCGCCUACAUGAAGUCGGAAUCGCUAGUAAUCGCGGAUCAGCACGCCGCGGUGAAUACGUUCCCGGGCCUUGUACACACCGCCCGUCACACCACGAGAGUUUGUAACACCCGAAGUCGGUGAGGUAACCUUUUGGAGCCAGCCGCCUAAGGUGGGAUAGAUGAUUGGGGUGAAGUCGUAACAAGGUAGCCGUAUCGGAAGGUGCGGCUGGAUCACCUCCUUUCUAAGGAA